Non-coding RNA from Loxodonta africana (African savanna elephant), 66 nucleotides. The record is from Rfam. Lineage: Eukaryota; Metazoa; Chordata; Mammalia; Proboscidea; Elephantidae.
GCUAGUAGCACAGUGGUUAAGAUUUUGGCUGCUAACCAAAAGGUUGGUAGUUCAAAUCUACCAGCU